UUCCUUUCAGAUAAUGUAUAUAUUUACUCAGCUGUUACAUUAUCAGGAUCACAUGCUGUUUUCAUCAUUUUACUCUUUAACCUUGCAGAAUCCCGAAAGCCCUUCCUGUGCUCUUGCUGUCCUCGCCAGCCCGUGGCCUCCCCUACCGCACACGCAUUUGCAGAGUAUCUGCAUGUCCCAAACCCUCCACAUUUGCAUGCAGUGGCUUCCUGCAGGAUCUGGUACUCUGCCAAGAAAUUUUCCCGGCUGCACUGCAAAGUAAUGAUAUAAACAAAAAGAAUCAGUGACUGCCUCCGUGUAGUUUAUUUCUACACAGAAUCCAAGUCCUGUGUGCAUCCCUUACUAUCCUGAUGCAUGUGGCCCAGAACCAAGAACUCCGCAGUUUGAUGGAACUAUUUUACAACCUCCUUCAUAGUUUUCUCUUAAUCCUGAACUGAGAACAAGUGUCAAACGAUGGGGCCAGAUCUGCAGUCAGUAAAAACUGUGUUUCCACUGAACUCACUGGACUAAGCCCUGGUCCCUCAAUGAAGUCGGUGAGACUUCUGCCACUGACUCCAAUGGAGUCAGGAUUUUAUGCAAUAGAUUCACAGUGCCAACUCAGACCAAGUGUGGAUGCACCACAUGGCACAGCAAUGAGCCCGUUUUCAUUCCAGACAAAAAAAUGUAUCCAAGUUUGAUCCAGAGGAGGAGAUCCAAAGCUUGCCAGGAACCACAGAGAGUGAGUGGGUGAAAUUCCAGAAGAAAAGAGCAGUUCUUGAACCCUCACCCUGCUCUUACACCACUAUAGCUCAGGGAAUACUCCCUCAGAACUCAUUCUCCAUUUUCUACACUACUGCUCAGGAUCCUUGACGUAGGCAGUCGAGGUCACUGCCUGGGUUUCCAUGCAAUGGCCUUGCCAGGAUGCUUCACAUUUUUUUAGAAUGAACCAGGCAAACUCAACAUGAAAUGUAUGUACUGCUGCAUUACUCAUCCUUCACAAACCUCUCAAUUAAUUGGUGAGAAUGGAGUCACAUCAUAUUUAUUUUCCUGGAAUGAAGGGAAGAGGACCAGAUACCGAGACUGCGCUGUGACAGUUGGAGCUGAGGGCACACAUCUGCUGCUGCCAAACGUGACUACAAUCACACAGACUUUUGCCUUUGCUGGAGACAGGCAUGCAGAAAGGAAAAAAUGAUGCGCUGUGUCCUGAAUGAAUACCUAGUCAGAAGGAAAGGGCUUCUAGCAGCUUAUGCUGGCAUUCCCAAAGCAGCUUUAAACAACCCAGCUGAGCCAUGAACAGCCC
This is a long non-coding RNA of Gallus gallus (chicken), 1279 nucleotides long. NCBI's taxonomy places the organism in Eukaryota, Metazoa, Chordata, Aves, Galliformes, Phasianidae. The record is from Ensembl.